RNAcentral lists this ribosomal RNA (443 nucleotides) under uncultured bacterium. RNAcentral's name for it is "partial 16S ribosomal RNA". It matches the Rfam family "Bacterial small subunit ribosomal RNA", at positions 338 to 795 of the family's 1533-position model. The record is from RNAcentral.
ACUACGGGAGGCAGCAGUGGGGAAUAUUGGGCAAUGGGCGCAAGGCUGACCCAGCAACGCCGCGUGAAGGAAGAAGGCUUUCGGGUUGUAAACUUCUUUUCUCAGGGACGAAGCAAGUGACGGUACCUGAGGAAUAAGCCACGGCUAACUACGUGCCAGCAGCCGCGGUAAUACGUAGGUGGCAAGCGUUAUCCGGAUUUACUGGGUGUAAAGGGCGUGUAGGCGGGAAAGCAAGUCAGAUGUGAAAACCAUGGGCUCAACCUGUGGCCUGCAUUUGAAACUGGUUUUCUUGAGUACUGGAGAGGCAGACGGAAUUCCUAGUGUAGCGGUGAAAUGCGUAGAUAUUAGGAGGAACACCAGUGGCGAAGGCGGUCUGCUGGACAGCAACUGACGCUGAGGCGCGAAAGCGUGGGGAGCAAACAGGAUUAGAUACCCUAGUAGUC